Molecule: ribosomal RNA, 1113 nt
Filed under: Candidatus Omnitrophota bacterium
Lineage: Bacteria; Pseudomonadati; Candidatus Omnitrophota
Description: bacterial SSU rRNA
Rfam family: Bacterial small subunit ribosomal RNA
Source: RNAcentral
UUUUGGAGAGUUUGAUCCUGGCUCAGAGUGAACGCUGGCGGCGUGGAUUAGGCAUGCAAGUCGAGCGAUCCUUGCUUGAUACUUACUGGAGUGCUUGCACAAAGGUAAGAGGAUGGCGCUGGAUAGCGGCAAACGGGUGAGUAAUGCGCGAGCAAUUUUCUCUAAAUACGAACAUAGCUUCGUGAAAACGGAGGUAAUAUUCGAUGUGGUCCGAAAAUCGCAUGUUUUUCGGAUUAAAGGUAGGGACCUUCGGGCCUGCCGAUUUAGAAUGAGCUCGCGUCCUAUCAGCUUGUUGGUGGGGUAAAGGCCUACCAAGGCAUAUGACGGGUAGCUGGUCUGAGAGGAUGGUCAGCCACACUGGGACUGAGACACUGCCCAGACUCCUACGGGAGGCUGCAGUCGAGAAUCUUCCUCAAUGGACGAAAGUCUGAAGGAGCGACGCCGCGUGCAGGAUUAAGGCCUUCGGGUUGUAAACUGCUUUUGUAUGGAAAGAAGUUCUGCUAUCUAACAUAUAGUAGAAUUGACGGUACCAUGCGAAUAAGCCACGGCCAACUCCGUGCCAGCAGCCGCGGUAAUACGNNGAGGUGGCAAGCGUUACUCGGAAUUAUUGGGUGUAAAGGGCAAGUAGGCGGUCUGUUAAGUGAGGGGUGAAAUCUUCCGACUCAAUCGGAAAACUGCCUUUCAAACUAAUAGACUUGAGAUUGGAAGAGGGAAACGGAAUUAGCAGUGUAAGGGUGAAAUCUGUAGAUAUUGCUAAGAACACCAGCGGCGAAGGCGGUUUCCUGGUCCAAAUCUGACGCUAAAUUGCGAAAGCUAGGGUAGCAAACAGAAUUAGAUACUCUGGUAGUCCUAGCUGUAAACGAUGAGCACUAGGUGUUGGGUCUAACGACUCGGUGCCGCAGCUAACGCAUUAAGUGCUCCACCUGGGGACUACGGCCGCAAGGCUAAAACUCAAAGGAAUNNUGGUUUAAUUCGAUGCUACGCGAAAAACCUCACCAGGGCUUGACAUGUAUGAAGUAGUGAACUGAAAGGGGAACGACCCGUAAAAUCGGGAACUUACACAGGUGCUGCAUGGCUGUCGUCAGCUCGUGUCGUGAGAUGUUGGGUUAAGUC